This 279-nucleotide unclassified non-coding RNA is filed under the name uncultured fungus. RNAcentral's name for it is "partial contains 5.8S ribosomal RNA, internal transcribed spacer 2, and large subunit ribosomal RNA". The stretch from base 1 to 52 matches the Rfam family "5.8S ribosomal RNA", at positions 103 to 154 of the family's 154-position model. Lineage: Eukaryota; Fungi. The record is from RNAcentral.
AACGCACAUUGCGCCCGCCAGUAUCCUGGCGGGCAUGCCUGUCCGAGCGUCAUUUCGACCCCUCAAGCCCCCCGGGCUUGGUGUUGGGGGCCCACGGCAGCCCGUGGCCCCCGGAAAACAGUGGCGGCGGCCCGCGCGGCGCCGGGCGUAGUAGAAUACCUCGCCCCGGCGGCCGCGGCGCCUGCCCGCCGUGAAGCGCGGACACCCCCCCUCCCGGGGCGGUGGCCACAGAACACACCGGUUGACCUCGGAUCAGGUAGGAAUACCCGCUGAACUUAA